This is a ribosomal RNA of Chlorocebus sabaeus (green monkey), 104 nucleotides long. NCBI's taxonomy places the organism in Eukaryota, Metazoa, Chordata, Mammalia, Primates, Cercopithecidae. The record is from Ensembl.
CCCAUCCCAUCCUAAAAGUGCUCAAUCUCAUCUGAUUUCGGAAGUUAAGCAGGGUCGGGCCUGGUUAGUACUUAGAUGGAAGAAAAGCGAAGCACAGAGAAGGU